RNAcentral lists this ribosomal RNA (253 nucleotides) under uncultured bacterium. RNAcentral's name for it is "partial 16S ribosomal RNA". It matches the Rfam family "Bacterial small subunit ribosomal RNA", at positions 524 to 776 of the family's 1533-position model. The record is from RNAcentral.
GACGUAGGAUGCAAGCGUUGUCCGGAUUUAUUGGGCGUAAAGAGUUCGUAGGCGGUUCGUUAAGUCUGAUGUUAAAGAUCGGGGCUCAACCCUGGGAGUGCAUUGGAUACUGGCGAACUGGAGUGCGGUAGAGGCUAGUGGAAUUCCCAGUGUAGCGGUGAAAUGCGUAGAUAUUGGGAAGAACACCUAUGGCGAAGGCAGCACUCUGGGACGGUACUGACGCUGAGACGCGAAAGCGUGGGGAGCGAACAGG